CCUACGGGAGGCAGCAGUAAGGAAUAUUGGACAAUGCUCGCAAGAGUGAUCCAGCCAUGCCGCGUGCAGGAAGAAUGCCCUAUGGGUAGUAAACUGCUUUUGAACUAGAGAAAACCCCAGUACGUGUACUGGGCUGAUAGUAUAGUUAGAAUAAGCAUCGGCUAACUUCGUGCCAGCAGCCGCGGUAAGACGAAGGAUGCAAGCGUUAUCCGGAUUCAUUGGGUUUAAAGGGAGCGUAGGUGGACUUAUAAGUCAGUGGUGAAAUCUCCGAGCUUAACUCGGAAAUUGCCAUUGAUACUGUAGGUCUUGAGUACAGUUGCUGUGGGCGGAAUAUGACAUGUAGUGGUGAAAUACAUAGAGAUGUCAUAGAACACCGAUUGCGAAGGCAGCUCACAAAGCUGUAACUGACACUGAGGCUCGAAAGUGCGGGGAUCAAACAGGAUUAGAUACCCUGGUAGUCCGCACCGUAAACGAUGAUUACUCGCUGCUAGGGGGCAACCUUUAGUGGCUUAGCGAAAGCGAUAAGUAAUCCACCUGGGGAGUACGCCGGCAACGGUGAAACGUCAAAUGAAUUGACGG
Molecule: ribosomal RNA, 579 nt
Filed under: uncultured bacterium
Lineage: Bacteria
Description: bacterial SSU rRNA
Rfam family: Bacterial small subunit ribosomal RNA
Source: RNAcentral